CCCACCACGGGUGAUGGCGUUCCACCUGCCCCAACCGCCCUUCUGGGCUGAUGACGCCUGGCAAACU
This 67-nucleotide non-coding RNA is filed under the name Izhakiella sp. Its description in RNAcentral is "Fluoride sequence". It matches the Rfam family "Fluoride riboswitch aptamer (crcB RNA motif)". The record is from RNAcentral. Lineage: Bacteria; Pseudomonadati; Pseudomonadota; Gammaproteobacteria; Enterobacterales; Erwiniaceae.